Microcebus murinus (gray mouse lemur) is the source of this 3330-nucleotide non-coding RNA. NCBI's taxonomy places the organism in Eukaryota, Metazoa, Chordata, Mammalia, Primates, Cheirogaleidae. The record is from RefSeq and is a predicted model, not a curated record.
UGGAGGCAGUGCUGUCAGGCGCUGGCAGACGUCAGCCAGGGAUGAUGUGUGGCUCAGCUGCACAGGGACCACCAGCACAAGUGGCCAAAGUGAACGCAGGAAAUGCAAAUAAGAAAAGUGGGCUGGAUGUUACUGUCCUUAGUCCAUGAGGAAAAAGCAGGAGCUGAAGCACAAUGAGAAGUGGCCCUGACUACCAGCUUCAGGUGGGGAGGCAGAAGCAGGCAGAGAAGGCUGGCCAGUGGGAAGGCGCAUGCCCCGCCAAAGGGCAGCCUCACCCAGCUCCAGCUGCUUGUGGAAGUAGGAAUUUUUAUAUGAAAUCUCCCAAUUUUCAAAUGUGGACAGCUAAUUUGAAAAGUAUUCUUACCUCUGUGAGGCCCAAAUGAAACAUGCCCUUUCCUGGAUUCAGCCAGCACCCCCAGCUCACGGCCUUGGUGUUCGCCUACUCCAUGCCUCCCCAUCCUUGGCAGGGUCAUAGACAGGAAAAGUGGUGCCUCAGCUGUUCCUUAACCAGGUUCUCCAGUCUAGGUCCAUUCUAGUUCACCGAACACCUUGAACUUCAGAGUCUCAGGGAUUGUGUGCUGGGCCUGGAGGAGGUCACAACCCAGCCUCCCUUGUUCUAAUCCUGAAGCCUAUACAGACAGUUGCAAGGCCCCAUUGUUUUUCCUCCACACGCAUAUAUUGACUUUGGCAGCCCAGAUGAAUGGUAAAUGCAGGCAUGUUGUGUGAGCCUCCUGCCCUCCUGCCUCAGCAUCUACACACAAACACCCGCUCCAUAUACCAUCCACGUUCAAGCUCAAUUCCAUGGAAAAAAGCUAAGGAGCUCCCUGGAUUAAGGGACAAAGUAGGAACAGAUCCUUAACUGGCCAUCUCAAGGACAAAUACCCACUGCUGCUGCUCCCGGGAAGAGGAAGAGCCCCGUUGUCCCCAGUGGCUCUGCCUAUUGUGCCAGCCACCCUUGAAGGUUUGGGGUUAUGUGAGGAGUCUGUAUUUCUAUCUUGUCUCCUGUUUUGUGUACUUAAGCUACAUGAGCUUGUCCUUGUAGAAUAGUAGGACCACUGACUAAAGGAACAGAAUGUUCUGGAUGCCUACAUUAGCCAGCCUGAGCCAGAUGGCCUUGUACAGCCACCUUGAUUUGCAGCCCAGGCAUGCCUGCAACACUGGAGAAUUGUCUGCAGCCCAAGAGAAAUGGUACCUUGGAACUGUUUUCCUUUUUCCCUUGAGCCCCCUGCCUCCCUGUGUCAGCUUUUUCAAGAAAUGAAAAUGAAAUCCCUCCCAUCUGUUGUUUUCAUUUCUGUCACUCCCUGCACAAACUUUAAUUUCCUCCCUUUUUAGCUUUGCAAGGAAGCAAAGCUUAAGCAGAAUUUAGGUGAUCAUUUUCCAGAAGCUGUUUAUAUACCAGCAUGACUCCCACCUUUGGUUCUGUGUCCAUACCCUUUGGUGGCACCUCACAAAAUGUCCUAUGUGUUGGUCAGGACAGGACAAAAUGGGGUAAGGAAGCCAACAGGGCCCAAGAUUCCCAGUCAGUGAGAAUGAUUUUAGUAAACUGGGCAAGCAGUUCUAGCCUCAGAAAUGCUGGCUUCGGGCUUGGAGUGCAGCACCCCAUUCCUGGGGGUCUUUGCUGCAGUGCUCAGGAGGCCCACCAGGCAGGGGCAGGUGCUGGGGCCAGCCCACACCACCCAGGAUGGGCAGAAACAGGCCAUAGGUUUUUGCCCUUUGUCAGGAUAAACCAGUGAACAAACCAACCAAAUCUCCUUCAGAGAUGGUGCACACCUGAAAAUGUAUUGAUUUAGUUUACUGAGCACUUCCUUCCAGAAAACUCUAUGUGAAGAUGUGCAGAGAGGCGCCUGGGGUGGCAAAUAAAAGCAAUAGGAGGAGCUAAAUCAGGAGCUGUAGAGUGUAAAGAGGGCUUUGCACUCUGAGACAAUCAGGCAUCUUGAACAUCUCAGAACCCAGUGUGCUGAAGGAUGCUGGAAUUGCUUUUUCUUUUUUCAUUUUUUUCCCCCAGCCAAUCAUGUAGGAGGUUUUUUCAGAGGAGAAAACAACUUUGUCUUCCCCAAAGACAAACCCUACACUUUGCUUUAUAAGACAGAUAGCAGGAUGCUGGAAUUUCUUCUCCUCUCCUGUUUCCAGUCAUUCUAGCUUUAAGAAGUUGGACACCUCUGAGGGAAGGGCUGUUCAUACCAAGACACUGUCUGAACUCUCUGACCUUCUUCCCUCCCAGCCCAGCAGGUGACAGCCCUGAUCCCUUGGUGCAGCACUGUGCUGUUUUUAUCUGCAGCACUCGACCUGCCUACAAGGGCUGGCCUGUCCUUGCUGUGAACCUGGGGACUAGGAUGCUGUUCAACCACCUGGGCCUCUGAGAUUUGGUCUGGGACCACGGGGGUGGCUCACUCGUUGUGUCAUGGCCAGCCAAGGGCCGAGGUGUCCUGUGCAGAUCUGCUCAUGACUGUCUGAGGGAGACUAGAUCUCACGUGAAGACAGCCAGUGCCUCUUUAAACCCACAAAUUUCAGUUCUUGGCAUCAGUCAGUUUUUAGAACAAGGCAGCUCAGAAAUACAAAAACAAUUAACACUUCUGUAGUGCUUUUAAUCUACCAAGCACUGUAGUAAGUGAUAACCUGCUUUAACUCAUUCAGACCCAUAGUCACUCCUGAAUUAGGCACUAUCUUUAUCUGCAUCUUAAAGAGGAAAGAGAAACAGAGGUUCUAACUUACUAGAAAUCACAGAACCAGUAAGUGUUGGAAGUCAGAGUUGAACACAGAAGUCUAGGUCCAAUCCAUUCUCUUGACCUCUGGGUUGUACUGCUUGUCAUAGCUGUAAAUUUUUAGGGCACUGAACAUUUAGGGAGGCAAUGUGAGGGGGAGGGUAAGCAAGAAGUAAGAGAUGUCACCCACUUGCCCCCUCCCACUUCAUUCCCUGCUCCCUCUUCCCCAAUAGGUUAGCUCCCCUCCUGAUGGUUCACCUCUUGCUGCAGGUAGUAUUUUCUCUGCCCCACCCCCUUAGGCACAGGGGUUUACAUGUGACCUUGUGGGCACUAGUCCUAAUGAUGCUGCCUCAACCAAGGCUAAUCACAGCCUUCCUUGGCAUUGUGACACCAGAGCUAGGAGGAGACAAGACAAAGACUCCUCUCCCAUGCAGCAGGAGAGUUGUGUGGAUGUGAGCCCAGAGCUGCUCACAGUUCCUGUCUCUCAGAGAAGUCAGGCCAAGGCAGGACACAGAGAGUGCCCCAGGCAGUCAGCACUGCAGUCCCUCCUGAGUCUUGGCCAUUCAUUUCCUGCUCCUCGUUCUUGCGCUUCCCCAGAAUCUCUCUAAUAAAUUCUCUUUUUGCUUUG